This 429-nucleotide ribosomal RNA is filed under the name Acidobacteriota bacterium. RNAcentral's name for it is "Acidobacteria bacterium partial 16S ribosomal RNA". It matches the Rfam family "Bacterial small subunit ribosomal RNA", at positions 355 to 776 of the family's 1533-position model. The record is from RNAcentral. Lineage: Bacteria; Pseudomonadati; Acidobacteriota.
UGGGGAAUUUUGGACAAUGGGGGAAACCCUGAUCCAGCCAUCCCGCGUGUGCGAUGAAGGCCUUCGGGUUGUAAAGCACUUUUGGCAGGAAAGAAACGUCAUGGGUUAAUACCCCGUGAAACUGACGGUACCUGCAGAAUAAGCACCGGCUAACUACGUGCCAGCAGCCGCGGUAAUACGUAGGGUGCAAGCGUUAAUCGGAAUUACUGGGCGUAAAGCGUGCGCAGGCGGUUCGGAAAGAAAGAUGUGAAAUCCCAGAGCUCAACUUUGGAACUGCAUUUUUAACUACCGGGCUAGAGUGUGUCAGAGGGAGGUGGAAUUCCGCGUGUAGCAGUGAAAUGCGUAGAUAUGCGGAGGAACACCGAUGGCGAAGUCAGCCUCCUGGGAUAACACUGACGCUCAUGCACGAAAGCGUGGGGAGCAAACAGG